Molecule: long non-coding RNA, 859 nt
Filed under: Lepisosteus oculatus (spotted gar)
Lineage: Eukaryota; Metazoa; Chordata; Actinopteri; Semionotiformes; Lepisosteidae
Description: lncRNA (ENSLOCG00000022679.1)
Source: RNAcentral
CAUUAGCUGAGCUGAUGAUUGUGGUAACUAUACUGAGCCUUUUUGGAAUCCUUAGCAUGGGAAGCUAUGUUGCUUGAAAUGCUCAACUACAGUUCAUGGACCAGGUAUCCUCUGGAGGCUUGCUACGGUCCAGUUGGAAAUCGCGAGAGAUGAUCCGGGAGAAGGGGGAGCCGAUGUGCGUGAAGCGCGGCGGCUGGGACGUCCUCGAGAGAAGCGGGGGUUAUUUGGAGACUUUGCCAUGGAGGGACGGGAAGGCUGGGUUUGUGGUGAGAGAGGGACUACGACGGCAGAACGCAGUCUUCGGCGAGGAGUUGAAUCUUGUGAGGACUGGCUGGGAGAUGAACGGCGCUGAUGUGGCACGGCGGGUGAAGGAGGCGAUGAGACGGAGGUGAGGGGAGCGGGGGAGGAGGACUGGACGAGAGGGGUAGGAGAGUCUCCUGUGCUGCAGAAAAGGUCUUCAUCGGAGCAGCGAAUUUGUAGAUCCAUGAGAAGGGAGCACGGAUACGAGCUAGGCGAAAACGAACCAUGCAGAAAACGAACGAGGAAAAGGAGAGGGUGAAGUUUGAUAUAUAUGGAGACCGGUUGCUUACGUCAGGAUUAGUGAGAAUUGCGGCAGCUGUGUCGAAUGAGCGCAGCUGCCUUCAUUCCUCCCGAACUUUCAUUAAAAACUCCAUAAAUCAGCUCGCACUUGCUGACAAGACUAGUGGUUGCUGUCUUUCCCUAUUGCGCAAUAUGAAUAAAUGCCUUACUGAGUAAAUGAGAACACCUCUCCUGGCUCUUCUUUGAUAAAGAUUCCACGACACUGCGUACAGUAUAUACCAGAUAAGAGCAGACUAGCUAUGUAAUCAGUGAAAUACUG